This 3261-nucleotide long non-coding RNA is filed under the name Nicotiana tabacum (common tobacco). Its description in RNAcentral is "long non-coding RNA (NTAB_LNC016933)". Lineage: Eukaryota; Viridiplantae; Streptophyta; Magnoliopsida; Solanales; Solanaceae. The record is from RNAcentral.
AAAGAUUAAACUUAAAAUUAGCGAUAAAAAAUAAACUAAGGCGAGCAGUAUUCUUACUUAGCUUUUACGUACUAGUUAUGGUUUGCCUAUGUUCCUAGAUAAUCAAAAUAUCAAAAAUCAUCCAAUAAAUAAGUUAGUUAUUCAGAGAUAUAUACAUGUAAACUAGCAAACAUAAGUGAAUAUUGUCCAAGGUAAAGAAAAGGAAGAAACUGGACUCUUGACUGUUGGGCUGGUGAGCCUAACCAGGCCCAGCAUAAUUCGGCAGACUCCAUCAUGCGCAUAAGGAGCAGGCUGGAUUUGAAUUUGUGCCUGAGUUCCCAACGGAACUUAGGAGGCCCAAUGCAAAACAUGCACACAAAAAAUAAUAAAAAAGAUAAUUAGUGUAUAUCAAUCAUAAAACUAAUUAAAAUAAAGAUUAAGAAAAAUAAUAAUGAAGAACUAAAGAAUAUGGUGAGACGACUUUUAUUUAUGUUAACCCUAAGGGGACUAAUGAAAGACAGUGACUAAAGGCUUGGUAUGAAUCCUCAUUUAUGGAUAUGAUCCCCUUUGUGAGCCCUUGACACUUCAGAGUUCACGAGGGUAUCACAGACCCCGAGCAGUACUUGUGUCAAGGAGAGAGAUCAUAAACACAAUAAGUUUUCACAUCCAAAUACCCUUAACCACCCACUAUUAAUCUUCCUCAAAAGUUUAAACAGAAAUAAAGGAUCAACACAGUAAUUUCAUAUGGCCAAGACAUCAACAGUAGGUGUAAGAGUCGUGAUAAACCCUUUAAGGAUUCAAGCACACAAAGACUCCACAACUGUGAACAAAUAGGAUACUGUAAUUCAUUAUCAAAGCACAGAAGAAGUCAAGGGCAUAUUAUUGGCUUAAGAGGAUUCAUAUUAGAGUAUAAGAUAUACAGGCAUGCAUGGGAUCACUGUGGAUACUUAGUUAAACAAGAAAACAAAGUACAUACCAUAGACACAUUUCAUUGCUUAUAGAUUCUUGAUCAGAAGUGUUAUCAGCCAAGUAUUACAUAGAGGUGAACAGAAGUGUAUAUUUUACUAUCUUCAUUAUAGGUUGAAUGUUCCAGAAUUCUCCUAGGCAGAUUCAAGAUUAUAAGAACAAGCCACAAAUAUUUCUAAGGCUUCAGCAUAGCUAAGAGCAGGUAUACAUCUCACUAAGACCUCACCACCUUAACAGUUAGGCUAUAAAGUCACAAUAUACUAACACUUUGAUAUGCAAACAGGUUCACUAACAACAUUUUGUACAUGAGUCUGUGUGUGUGUAGGUUAUUACAACAUCAUGGAUUAGUUUAACAGUUAAAAUUAUUUAAACAAGGACAGAUAAUUAGGGUCAGUUUCUUAAUAGGAUCAGUCACUAAACUCAAAUUAUUUCAUUACCACAGAAAGAUUAGGACUACUAUAGGUGAACACAUAGAUGCAAGGAUAAACCUCUUCAAGCUACUGUCAUAAAAUGCUCUAUGGGCACAACAAUACUAAUACAACAGGUGUGAACUCAGGUGUAGAAACUAAGAAGAGUCAUGACAACAAAGAGUUUCAUGCAGCAGGGCUCAAACAAUUAGUAAAUGGCAUUCAUUCCAGAGGUUAAUCACAUUCAGAUAUGAGAACAUGCCUUCUAACAUACUGAUAGAGUUUAUUGUAUGAUCUCUUUUGUUUCCAACUAUCAUAAGAAGCACACAAAAAUUAUUCUGUUAAAAUAGUAUGAACAUGGCACUGGCUAGAGUCCAGAUAAAAAUCAUCAAUGACGCAAUCAUGUUCCUAGAACUAAGGCAAAAAUAACACAACAUCUCAAACAUCAAGAUGGCUUGGUGUUAACAAGUUAACAGUGUACUCAAGAGGAGCUUAAGCGUCUGAUUUCACAGGGAAAUAGUUACUUGACUGACAUAUUACAUACAAUAUUGUUGAUAUAAGAUUUAAUUAAUCAUGAAGCUUCAAUAGAGUCUAAGAGUAACAACAAUAUACAGAUUACUAGAUAUGCAAAACAAGCAGGUUAUCACAUUUACCAACUGAGAUUGUUAGAGUAGAUAAGUUGAAUACAAGACAUGAAAUAUAGGGAAUCCACUUAUAAGACCAACAUUAUGUCACAAGUAGGCGGGUCAAAUCAUCUAGAGGUACAAAAACACAAAGAGAAGUUUAAGAGCAUGAUUUAAGUUAGCUUAGCUGUCCUAGUUUUAUUGUUCAACUAACAGAGGUAGAUUGUGCACAAAAUCAACAUAAAGCUUAACUUAGCUUUAUCAUAUAUGCAUAGCAAAGUUAAUCACAAGAAUAUCACUUAGUCUAGGGUCUUUUUACUAAUUGAAUCAUGAAGGAUAGAAGUCAAUAGCACAUAUUUAAUGACAGGUUUUAAUACAACAUAACUUAAUAAAAACACUCAUAAUUUAACAGUAAAAUAGCAUUUUAAAGAAGGGUAUAACAAAUACGACCUUACACUACUAACAUCUAACAUGAACAACAAAGAAUUUAUUAAGUAAUCAUCAAGAAGACAUAAUUAUCAAAUGGAUUCAAAGUAAGGAGGGGGUCAGUAGGUACUGACCUUCUAUAGGGCAGAAAACCAAGUAAGGACGUGUUCAACAUCCAUUUCAGAGAUCCAAACUCAAGAUCAAUAUAGCAGUUGACUCAAACCGGAGAAGAGAAAGAAAACACAAAAAUUGGAGAGCACUUAGUGAGAAAACCUUAAAGUUUAACUCAUUUUUUUCUUUUAUGUUUCGGAUAGUAUUUGAUGCGUGGUAGGUGUGAAAAUAGAAUGUCCCUUUUAUAGUGGCACUCAAGACACUUAGGGUUCCGAUUGAUUCAAAUGGGUAGUGGAGAGUGACGACAGUCGAAUGAUGAUAACAAUAAAGGUGAAAUCUGUGAAGAACAGAGGGGAAAAAGCAACACAGAUUUACCUGGGCACGAGGAGAUGACCGUUGAAUGCGAAGACCUAUCAGACAAAGCCCCAAUAUCCAAAGGUUACUAUGUUUGACCUAUGGAUACGAAUAAUGAUGAUGGAAUCAGUGACAAUAGCCAUGCAUGCCUUGGAUUUGAAAGAACGAAGGGAGAACAGAUAAUUCUCAGUAGCAUGAUUUAGGUCUAGAGUUUAAUUGAGGCUUUUGAAUUUUAGUGAUGAAAACAGAAGUAUACCGGCUGGAUUCGCGGAUUAUAGUGACAAAUUGGGUGAUUUGAGGUUUGAAUCCGUGACCUUGCACAAAUUUGUGCAAGGUUUGUGAUUGGGGGUCAGAUGGGAUGAGAGAAAGGAGAGGGAAUUGGGAAAGAAGGGCGG